RNAcentral lists this ribosomal RNA (505 nucleotides) under uncultured bacterium. Its description in RNAcentral is "partial 16S ribosomal RNA". It matches the Rfam family "Bacterial small subunit ribosomal RNA", at positions 28 to 507 of the family's 1533-position model. The record is from RNAcentral.
GACGAACGCUGGCGGCGUGCCUAAUACAUGCAAGUAGAACGCACAGUUUAUACCGUAGCUUGCUACACCAUAGACUGUGAGUUGCGAACGGGUGAGUAACGCGUAGGUAACCUGCCUGGUAGCGGGGGAUAACUAUUGGAAACGAUAGCUAAUACCGCAUAAUAUUAAUUAUUGCAUGAUAAUUAAUUGAAAGGUGCAAUUGCACCACUACCAGAUGGACCUGCGUUGUAUUAGCUAGUAGGUGAGGUAACGGCUCACCUAGGCGACGAUACAUAGCCGACCUGAGCGGGUGAGCGGCCACACUGGGACUGAGACACGGCCCAGACUCCUACGGGAGGCAGCAGUAGGGAAUCUUCGGCAAUGGACGAAAGUCUGACCGAGCAACGCCGCGUGAGUGAAGAAGGUUUUCGGAUCGUAAAGCUCUGUCGUAAGAGAAGAACGGGUGUGAGAGUGGAAAGUUCACACUGUGACGGUAUCUUACCAGAAAGGGACGGCUAACUACGUG